CCGCACUCAUCGGGGAGCUUCAAUGACAAACAACCGAUUCGGUAUGUUGUCAUGGUGCUGAGAUUGGGCGAUUGCCCGGAACCCGCAACGACCUGAACCAGAUAAUGCUGGCGUAGGAAUUGAGUUUGGUCUGCCC
Vibrio sp. MEBiC08052 is the source of this 136-nucleotide non-coding RNA. Lineage: Bacteria; Pseudomonadati; Pseudomonadota; Gammaproteobacteria; Vibrionales; Vibrionaceae. The record is from Rfam.